UGAGCAAUCUGCCCUUCUCUUUGGAAUAAGCGUUGGAAACGACGUCUAAUGCCGAAUACGACCUCCUUUCGCAUGAUCGGAGGUGGAAAGCUCCGGCGGAGAAGGAUGAGCUCGCGGCCUAUCAGCUAGUUGGUGUGGGUAAUGGCCCACCAAGGCGACGACGGGUAGCCGGCCUGAGAGGGUGACCGGCCACACUGGGACUGAGACACGGCCCAGACUCCUACGGGAGGCAG
Molecule: ribosomal RNA, 233 nt
Filed under: uncultured bacterium
Lineage: Bacteria
Description: partial 16S ribosomal RNA
Rfam family: Bacterial small subunit ribosomal RNA
Source: RNAcentral